This 128-nucleotide ribosomal RNA is filed under the name Caloscypha fulgens. Its description in RNAcentral is "partial 18S ribosomal RNA". The record is from RNAcentral. Lineage: Eukaryota; Fungi; Ascomycota; Pezizomycetes; Pezizales; Caloscyphaceae.
CAGUAUACAUAUGCGCACUGGGUGCUUAUUAGGUGGAAUCCAUAAAACCCUCUCUGUGAGGGGCUGCUGCGGAGGCCAUGAUAGACACAACGCUUACGGUCUCGGGGGAUUAUUCUCGACGAUCGUUU